Saccoglossus kowalevskii is the source of this 77-nucleotide non-coding RNA. Lineage: Eukaryota; Metazoa; Hemichordata; Enteropneusta; Harrimaniidae. The record is from Rfam.
AUAUUACUUGGUAGUACUGGCAUAUGGACAUUGGUGAUUUAACUCAAUGUUCAUAUUUCAGUAUUUCCAAGUGAGAU